UUGUCCUACGGGAGGCAGCAGUGGGGAAUAUUGCACAAUGGGGGAAACCCUGAUGCAGCGACGCCGCGUGAGUGAAGAAGCGCCUCGGCGCGUAAAGCUCUGUCAGCAGGAACGAUAAUGACGGUACCUGAAGAAGAAGCCCCGGCUAACUACGUGCCAGCAGCCGCGGUAAUACGUAGGGGGCAAGCGUUAUCCGGAUUCAUUGGGCGUAAAGCGCGCGCAGGCGGACUCAUAAGCGGAGCCUUUAAUCUUGGGGCUUAACCUCAAGUCGGGCCCCGAACUGUGAGUCUCGAGUGUGGUAGGGG
Molecule: ribosomal RNA, 305 nt
Filed under: uncultured bacterium
Lineage: Bacteria
Description: bacterial SSU rRNA
Rfam family: Bacterial small subunit ribosomal RNA
Source: RNAcentral